GGUUCCCGGGCCUUGUACACACCGCCCGUCACACCAUGGGAGUUUGUUGCACCAGAAGCAGGUAGCUUAACCUUCGGGAGGGCGCUUGCCACGGUGUGGCCGAUGACUGGGGUGAAGUCGUAACAAGGUAGCCGUAUCGGAAGGUGCGGCUGGAUCACCUCCUUUUGAGCAUGACGUCAUUCGUCCUGUCGGGCGUCCUCACAAAUUACCUGCAUUCAGAGAUUCAUACCGGCACAGGUCGGUAUGCGAAGUCCCUUUUGGGGCCUUAGCUCAGCUGGGAGAGCACCUGCUUUGCAAGCAGGGGGUCGUCGGUUCGAUCCCGACAGGCUCCACCAUAUUGAGUGAAAAGACUUCGGGUCUGUAGCUCAGGUGGUUAGAGCGCACCCCUGAUAAGGGUGAGGUCGGUAGUUCGAGUCUACCCAGACCCACCACUCUGAAUGUAGUGCACACUUAAGAAUUUAUAUGGAUCAGCGUUGAGGCUGAGACAUGUUCUUUUAUAACUUGUGACGUAGCGAGCGCUUGAGAUAUCUAUCUAAACGUGUCGUUGAGGCUAAGGCGGGGACUUCGAGUCCCUAAAUAUUGAGUCGUAUGUUCGCGUUGGUGGCUUUGUACCCCACACAACACGUACAUGUAGCUCCGAGGCAACUUGGGGUUAUAUGGUCAAGCGAAUAAGCGCACACGGUGGAUGCCUAGGCGGUCAGAGGCGAUGAAGGACGUGGUAGCCUGCGAAAAGUGUCGGGGAGCUGGCAACAAGCUUUGAUCCGGCAAUAUCCGAAUGGGGAAACCCACUGCUUCGGCAGUAUCCUGCAGUGAAUUCAUAGCUGCUGGAAGCGAACCCGGUGAACUGAAAUAUCUAAGUAACCGGAGGAAAAGAAAUCAACCGAGAUUCCCUAAGUAGUGACGAGCGAACGGGGAACAGCCCUUAAGCUGGAAUGGCUUUAGAAAAACAAUCUGGAAAGAUUGGCCAUAGAAGGUGAUAGCCCUGUAUUUAAAAGGGCCACUCCAGUGAAAACGAGUAGGGCGGGGCACGUGAAACCCUGUCUGAAUAUGGGGGGACCAUCCUCCAAGGCUAAAAUCCACCACCAUGA
Molecule: small RNA, 1088 nt
Filed under: Xanthomonas hortorum pv. hederae
Lineage: Bacteria; Pseudomonadati; Pseudomonadota; Gammaproteobacteria; Lysobacterales; Lysobacteraceae
Description: partial contains 16S ribosomal RNA, 16S-23S ribosomal RNA intergenic spacer, and 23S ribosomal RNA
Rfam family: Bacterial large subunit ribosomal RNA (bases 659-1088)
Source: RNAcentral